CAACAAAAAGACAGGGAGUGAGAAUAAGGGAAUAACAAAAAGACAAAAAUGGGGGGUCCACUACACUUGCAUACCUGAUUGUGAUGCUGUCACUCAUUUUCUAGUCUAUAUCUUGGACUGAAAAAGGAUGCUUUGCCCCUGUGGUUGUGAAGAGGAUGCUGUGGAGGUGGCAGCAUGAACGUGUCACACAGACAUUGGCUAAACUACUCGGCUUCUACACUUGCCCUCAGAGUUCACAUAUGGUGAAGUGCACAGGUGUCCAGUCAGGUUCAGACUGAUGCUGGUAACAAGAGGAAAACAUGCUAAUUGGUCAGUCCAUGAGCCCACGUCUUCAGGUCAUGGGCCUGAGAAGAAUCUACCGUUACAGGGGUCAGAAGAGAUCCUCAAACUAUGCUGACAUUACUACCCCUGUACUUCAACCCCUCUGCUGCCACUGGGUCCUCAACGAGAAAAUAAACUGAUCCCCCCCCCCCCCCAAUCCAUUCCUUUUUCCACCGUCACAUCACACCAUGCCUAUGCACAUUAACACCACCAAUGAGCCUAGAAAACUAGGACAACAGUGAGGAUGAAUUUAGAAACCGCUUCCACGUAUUGUACUAUUUCUGAAAAAGCAUUGGUAUUGGCCUUCUAUCUCCACGUAGCCAUAUCAAAAAACCUGCCUAAAAAAAAAUCAAUUUUGUCGUGUUUCCGCUUAAAAAGGAAUUUAGAAACCGCUUCCACGUAUUGUACUAUUUCUGAAAAAGCAUUGGUAUUGGCCUUCUAUCUCCAUGUAGCCAUAUCAAAAAACCUGCCUCAAAAAAAAAAAACAAUUUUGUCGUGUUUCCGCUUAAAAAGGAGAACAAAAUAUCCACAUGUAAAAUUAUCCUGCUACGUGGAAAUGGCACCUUACUAAAUAAAUAACAACUGCAUAGUUAUUCUGUUCAAUUUAUGAGUAACUAUGUAAAUUAUGAUUAACUUUUUGGCUGAUAUGGGACACUGCAUGAAAAGAGGAAUUUGUGGAUGAGUUUUGCACCUUAAAUUGCCUCAUACCUCAAGCCACAGCAUUUGCGGCUCCCCCAUGCCCCCCUCCCAUCCCCUUCUUAGAAGAGCCUUUAAUAUGUAAAUGCCAGUGAUCAGGUCGGGAGCUGCCCCAGUCAAUUUCAAGUGGGGUGGGGUGGGGUGAGGUCAGGUGGGUGGGAGGGAGUGGGGGGUCGGCAGGCCUGUUUCUAGGA
Long non-coding RNA from Engraulis encrasicolus (European anchovy), 1211 nucleotides. RefSeq lists it as uncharacterized. Lineage: Eukaryota; Metazoa; Chordata; Actinopteri; Clupeiformes; Engraulidae. The transcript is spliced from 4 exons. The record is from RefSeq and is a predicted model, not a curated record.